CCUGGCGGCUUUAGCGCGGUGGUCCCACCUGACCCCAUGCCGAACUCAGAAGUGAAACGCCGUAGCGC
RNAcentral lists this ribosomal RNA (68 nucleotides) under Pantoea agglomerans. Lineage: Bacteria; Pseudomonadati; Pseudomonadota; Gammaproteobacteria; Enterobacterales; Erwiniaceae. The record is from RNAcentral. RNAcentral also lists the same sequence under 9 other names.